Molecule: long non-coding RNA, 512 nt
Organism: Nannospalax galili (Upper Galilee mountains blind mole rat)
Lineage: Eukaryota; Metazoa; Chordata; Mammalia; Rodentia; Spalacidae
Exons: 2
Source: RefSeq, a predicted model, not a curated record
GUGCCUUCUUUGUAGCUGGUACUGUGCUUCAGUUUCCCAUAACACCGUUGCAUCGUUCCUGCCAAACCCACAGAUGAAGAGUAAGAAGAGAGAAAGGGAGAAAACUAGAGUUUAUCCUGGCGAUGCUUCCAUGUGAACUUGAGAAGAAUGAAAAUUCAGCUGAUUUUGAAGAAAGGAUUCCACAGCUGUCAAUUAGAUGGAGAUCAUUGAUGGUGCUGUUCAAGUCCGCUCCAUCCUUAUUGAUUUUCUGUCCACUUCACCUAUCAGUUAUAGACAAGGAGGGUGUUUUAAUCUGCAGCUAUCAUCAUGAACUUGCUUAUUUUUUCUUUUAGCCUUACCAGUUUUUGUUUCAUGCAUUUGGUGUCCUCUUGUUUGGUGCAAAACCCCAUAAUUGCUGUGCCUUCCUGAAGACCUGAUUUCUUCAGUGUUAUGCUCCGUCCCUUUUAGUGCUCAUAAUUUUAUUCAUUUUCAAGUCUGUUUUGUCUGAAAUUAAAAUUUCCUUUUCAUUUUUC